GACGAACGCUGGCGGCGUGCUUAACACAUGCAAGUCGAACGGAAAGGCCCUGCUUUUGUGGGGUGCUCGAGUGGCGAACGGGUGAGUAACACGUGAGUAACCUGCCCUUGACUUUGGGAUAACUUCAGGAAACUGGGGCUAAUACCGGAUAGGAGCUCCUGCUGCAUGGUGGGGGUUGGAAAGUUUCGGCGGUUGGGGAUGGACUCGCGGCUUAUGAGCUUGUUGGUGGGGUAGUGGCUUACCAAGGCUUUGACGGGUAGCCGGCCUGAGAGGGUGACCGGCCACAUUGGGACUGCGGUACGGCGCAGUAUGCUACGGGAGGCAACAGUGGGAAAUAUGACACAAUGGGCGGACGCCUGAUGCAGAAGCGCCGCGUGCGGGAUGACGGCCUUCGGGUUGUAAACCGCUUUCGCCCGUGACGAAGCGUGAGUGACGGUAAUGGGUAAAGAAGCACCGGCUAACUACGUG
RNAcentral lists this ribosomal RNA (468 nucleotides) under uncultured bacterium. RNAcentral describes it as "partial 16S ribosomal RNA". It matches the Rfam family "Bacterial small subunit ribosomal RNA", at positions 28 to 507 of the family's 1533-position model. The record is from RNAcentral.